AACCUUCGCAAUGCGCGAAAGCGUGACGAGGUUAAUCCGAGUGACUCCCGCUGAGGGGGUCUUUUGUCAGCUGUAAUUAGGCAGGCGAAUAAGGGGAGGGCAAGCCUGGUGUCGGCCGCCGCGGUAAUACCAGCUCCUCGAGUGGUCGGGGCGAUUAUUGGGCCUAAAGCAUCCGUAGCCGGUUCCGUAGGUCCUCUGUUAAAUCCAACCGCCCAACGGUUGACCUGCAGAGGAUACCGCGGGACUAGGAGGCGGGAGAGGCGGACGGUACUCCGCGUGUAGGGGUAAAAUCCUUUGAUCCGCGGAAGACCACCAGUGGCGAAGGCGGUCCGCC
This 334-nucleotide ribosomal RNA is filed under the name uncultured archaeon. RNAcentral's name for it is "bacterial SSU rRNA". It matches the Rfam family "Archaeal small subunit ribosomal RNA", at positions 345 to 681 of the family's 1478-position model. The record is from RNAcentral.